GACCUGGUGGUGAAAUGCAUCACACCCACCCUAGUUGAAGUAGAUUGAUAUCGUUCAUUUGUGGGAGGCUCCCAGUUCUAAUCUGGGCCAGGUCA
Non-coding RNA from Mycena leptocephala, 95 nucleotides. NCBI's taxonomy places the organism in Eukaryota, Fungi, Basidiomycota, Agaricomycetes, Agaricales, Mycenaceae. The record is from the annotation of a GenBank genome assembly.